GAGGAAAAAGGUUCGUCAUAAUAAAACAGAUGAUCAACACGCCGAACCGAGUUGUGGGAGCUGUAAGGAGGAGGAGGAGAAAGAAGAAGAAAUAUACGUUUAGACGUCAGUUUCACCCUCAGGUCAUCAGGUCAGGUGGGUAUGUGCGUAUCGUACGCGCGCGCGGGUACAGGAGGAGGAGGGGAGAGGGGAAGGAGAAGGAGGAGGAGGAGGAGGACAAGGGAGGUACGACGGCGACGACGAGGGCCGUGGAGGAAAAGGUACGGCCGCGGUUGAUAAGGUGGAGCGAGCGGCUGUACGAGGUCCAGGUCCGGCCGCUGCAGUGGCUGCCGGAGUCCGCGAUGGACCGCGCGAAGCCGAUGCGCAGGCAGGGACUGCUGCGGCUGCCGGUCGAGCACCACUCCGAGAUGGUCAGGUGGGAGCCGGAGGGGCAGUGGCCGGCGGAGCUGUUGGCGUGGGAGCUGGAGGAGCGGUGGGGCGCGACGCCGCAGGGCCUGGACGUGGAGGUUGGCUUGCGGUGGCGGGCGAAGCGGAAGAAGCUCCCGGUCGGCGCGACCCGCGCGGGCGGCCCGGUGAAGGACGAGUGGAUGAUCCGAUCCGACCAACAUUACUCCUCAUAGUAUAUGACUAUAGUACAUAUACUAUGAUCACAUACUAUGAUGGAGGGAUUACGUAUCGUAGUAUAUAAUCAUAGUAUAUUAUAAAAUAAAUAACGGUACGUACUGUGUUUCAUCGUAUUGUAAAUAAUACUAUACCAUAGUACUAUACUAUGAUGUGGAAAAGAAAGAAGUAAAUUUCGAUACGAUAGAGUAGUUUUAACAGAUCAACCGUACAUACUAUGAUCAAUACUAUGAUAGUAAUGCUGGUCGGAUAGAUCACAGAGGCUCCAAAGUCCGAAAUGAUCGACCGUACCGUAGUAAGAUACCUAUCCAUGCAUGAGGAUCUACAACUCUUUAAGAUACACAUCGGACACACAGAUAUAUACUACUACUUAAACACUCUCUUUCUUUCUUCCCUGCUCAGUUCUAACCCCACCCACCCUGUGACCCUGCCCCCAGUAUAACUAACGGAGCUCGGGAGGUUACGUUGACAUCAUUGCUCAAGGGAAAGACAAACGACUCUUUCAACCGAGUGGAGUUCUACCAUGAUAAAAUAGAACAAAACAAAACCGAAAAUACUUUGUUGUUUUCAUGCUCCCUUGUUCGACGCCUUUCUCCGACUCAAACAAACCGAUUUGGACACAGACAGACCAGACCAGACCACUCCAUUCCAUAGAAUCUAUCUAUAUUCCCACCACCCCUCCAUGGUACGUAUAGAUUUUCCAAUUAACAUACUACUUCGAUUUCAUGAGGGAAGCAAGGUAUUACGAAACCUAGUUUAAACCUUGACGUCUUUCUUCGAAUCCAGCAAGGGAGUUGAAGAUUCAGAUAGAUCUUUGAAUUAUAACAUGGGCAUAUAAUGUACCCUAUAUAUUCCCACUACCAACCCUGUAACACAUUUUUUUCUCUCUCCUCCUUAAUCUCCAGUUGUUACUUUCCUUGUAUUUCACCCUGUGAAUAACCACAUGAACAAUCACUUUAUUUCGUUUAGGGGUGUCUUAGUCGACAGUCCCAACUCCGCACAGGCAGGUUUAUUCUGGCUAGCUGGUAGGUAGCCGAAGUCUUUCUAUCACGAUUCUAUGCAUAAUCGAUCUCCUCAUAUAUAAAGCUAAAGUCACACGUCUGUGGUAUCACUACGACUACUACUGUCACUACAGCAGACGUCACGUCGUAGUAGAGAGUUGGCCUACGCCUGAGUGCGUCGCGUCCACCGUUGCUUGAUACCCUCGUCUCGUCUCCUCUCCUGUCCGCAUUCAAGGUUCGGGUAAAGAAGAAAAGAAGGAGAAGAAGAGGUGCCGCCCGCCGUUGAGGAGGAACUGCCAGUGGCUGUACGAGGCCCUGCCGCUGCCGCGGUUCCAACCCGAACCUGCCCGGUACGAUUAACAGACCCCUCAUCUAACGAAACACACACGACUCUUUCGUUCAAAAAUCGACUUACUUCUGGUUCCUCUACUUCUCGUCCCAUCCUUCCUCAUCCUGUGUAGGUAUGAGGUUUCUGGUUUCUCUCCUCUGGUCCGUAGUCGAAGUAUCCCGACCCGUCCGCCGUGUUUACGGCGAAACCAGACGACUACCUACAACAGACGGACGUCGUAGAGAAUUAGCCUACGUACUAACUAGCUCCCGCGUCGCGUCCAGUCGUCCACGGUCCUUUUUUUUCUAUCUACCGUGUCGUCCACCGGUGGUUCGAGUUCGAGUUUCACUUUCGAGGCAGACUCUUCUCCUCUCCUGUGCGUCGUUCGAGGUUAGUUGCCUGUGGGGUACAGGUAUAAGAGAACGAGGAAAAGGGUUCGUAAUAAUAAACAGAUGACCAAACACGCCGAACCGGGUUGUGUUCAUCUGGGAGCUGAGCUGUAAGGAGGAGGAAGAGGAGAAGAAAUAUACGUUUAGACGUCAGUUUCACCCUCAGGCCGGUCAGGUGGGUAUGUGCGUGCGUACGCGCGCGCGGGUACAGGAGGAGGAGACGAGAGGGGGAGGGGGAGGGGAAGAAGAAGAACGUGGAGGAGGAGGAGGACAAAGGCGGUACGACGUGGCCGACGAGGGCGGUGGAGGAGGAGGUGCGGCCGCGGUUGAGGAGGAGGAGGAGGAGAGAGCGCCUGUACGAGGUCCAGGUCCGGCCGCUGCCGCGGUUGCAGUGGCUGCCGGAGUCCGCGAUGGAGCGCGCGAAGCCGAUGCGGAGGCAGGGACUGCUGCGGCUGCCGGUCGAGCACCACUCCGAGAUGGUCAGGUGGGAGCCGGAGGGGCAGUGGCCGGCGGAGCUGUUGGCGUGGGAGCUGGAGGAGCGGUGGGGCGCGACGCCGCAGGGCCUGGACGUGGAGGUUGGCUUGCGGUGGCGGGCGAAGCGGAAGAAGCUCCCGGUCGGCGCGACCCGCGCGGUCGGCCCGGUGAAGGACGAGUGGAUGCGGCAGCAGAGGAGGAGCGGCGGGAUGGUCGGCGAGGGGGAGGGCGCGUUCCGGCACGCGUCCCGGAAGGCGGCGCGGAAGCGCGCGACCCGCGCGCAGUAGGGCCACGCCAAGGCGCUCUGCGCGCUGAUGUUGUACCGCCUGCACGCGCACCCCAAGGAGCGGCCGCUGGUGCCGCUGCCGCUCGGGAAGCUGCCCGGGGAGCCGCACGAGCCGGUGCGGAAGAGGGGCGGGUCGCCGGUCGACGUGGAGCUGCGGCGGCUCGCGACCCGGCAGCCUCUGUACCGGCUGCGCCUGCGGCCGCGGCACCUGGAGCUCAGCCACCGGUGCGUGCUCUAGCCGGUGCAAGAACCGGACCGCGUGAGCAGGCAGGGCCUGCGGUAGUACAUGGGCUCGGAGUUCGGCGCCUGGUCCUUCUGCCUCGACUGGGACCUGCUGCAGGCGCCGCACGUCCGCGAGAUGCCGAGGUUGGGCGCCAAGUCGGAGUCGAGGGAGAGUCUCGGGCUGUGGAGGAGGCGGAGGGGGCGCCGCCGGAUGUGGUUAUGGUCCAGCGGGCCCUUCUGCUGCUGCCGCUGCCGGUAGGGCGAGGAUAACGAGCAGCGGUAGUGUGAGGAGACGAUCGAACUAAUUCGAGACGAUCGGACGAUCCAUCUAUGUAUAGUAUGCGAUGACAUCUGUACUCACGUACUGUGCAGCAUUAAUUAAACACUCUGACUAGCUAGCCGGUCCUAAAAUAGUCCACCCAGCUAGCUCAAAGAGUACACAAAAGAAGCCCGGCCACCCCACCAAAUCUAACGAAACUUAACUUCUUCGUUAAAUAAGGCUAACCUAUAUAAAUAUGUUGUUCUUCCCCUUUCUCUUUACUCUUUCGUGUUCAAUUCUUCGUACAGCACCAUGAUGAAACAACAAAGACUUCGAUUGUCCUGUCUACUCGUUGUAAAAGAAAGAAAGAACUGAACCAACUACCUGUCUAC
Molecule: ribosomal RNA, 3972 nt
Filed under: Triticum aestivum (bread wheat)
Lineage: Eukaryota; Viridiplantae; Streptophyta; Magnoliopsida; Poales; Poaceae
Description: partial small subunit ribosomal RNA
Source: RNAcentral